Molecule: ribosomal RNA, 2337 nt
Filed under: Triticum aestivum (bread wheat)
Lineage: Eukaryota; Viridiplantae; Streptophyta; Magnoliopsida; Poales; Poaceae
Description: partial small subunit ribosomal RNA
Source: RNAcentral
AUGGCGACGCAGCACAAGACGGCGUCGACGCACAGGUCGGCGAUCGUCCGUGGGGCGCACCAGCUCGACAUCGUCGGCUACAGCACGCGCCGCAAGUUCGGCGCCGACAACACCGUCAGGUCCCGCAGCUUCGACGCCGGCGGCUUCGUCUGGGCCCUCGUCUGUCGCUUCGUCGCAAACCCCGCGCAAGCGCGGGGCCUGACCCUGGCGUCCAUCUCCCUGGAGCUGUUGAGAAACCAGACUGACGAGGACGUCGUCGCCAUGGCCAGCGUCCGGAUCGACGACCCCACCGGUUGCGGCCGCUACCCCGCCGCAGAGUGGCACAGCGCCGAGCCCCACAUCUUUCCGGCCAGGUCCAGGAAGGCCGUCGCCUGGGAGCUCUCCGUCCCCGACAUGUUCCUGGAACACCAGGAACGCUACGUCAUGGACGAUUGCCUUACCAUCCACUGCACCGUGGACGUCAUCCGGGAGGAGUCUGUAGAUGGGGCCACCAGGAACUACUCAGUCGUCGUGCCUCCGCCGCCGAGCCUAUCCCAGGACAUCCAUAGGCUCCGGCAGGAGAUGUGGUGGCCGGACGUGACGUUCGUGGUCGACCAGACCAAGAUCCAAGCGCACAAGAUCGUGCUAGCCAUGCGGUCGCCGGUCUUCGCCGCCCAGUUCCACGGGGAGAUGAAGGUGAAGACCAUGCGCAGCCUACGCAUCGACGACAUGAGCGCAUCGACUUUCAAGGCCAUGCUUCACUUCGUGUACACCGACGAGCUGCCCAAACCCAAGAAAGGGGCUUGCCAUUUGGCCAUGGCGCGCGACCUUCUCGUGGUCGCAGACCUAUAUGACUUGGAGAGACUUAGGCUGAUGUGCGAGAAUAUACUGUCAAAGAGCAUCACGGUUGGCAACGUCAUGUCGACGUUGAUGCUGGUGCACAACAGGCACAGUUGCCGACAGCUCGAGGCCUCAUGUGUUGAGUUCAUAGCGUCUGACCCUGAUCUUUACGAUGCCGUGCAAGCCACCGACGAGUACAAGGAACUCGAGAAAGCGUGCCCCUCUUUUAUGUAUGAGAUCACUAAGAAAGUAGCCACACGUGCGGUGGCUCGCAACAAAUCUCCAUCUACUUCUUUCACCGGUUGUGGCACUGAUAGCAGCAGAGAGAGCGUGUCGAGGUAUAACCCAUCCACGGUGAUGAUCGGCGCACAUGAGUUCAGGAUCGAAAACUUGAAUGCAGUCAGGAAGACACAUAGUGUUGGUCAAUACAUCCAAUCUGGUAGUUUCCAAGUGGGGGGCUACAACUGGGCCAUUGAGGUGUUUCCUUCUGAGUAUGAAGAGGGCAAUACUGAGUGCAUUGGCCUUUUCGUCAAGCAGUUGAACAACGGCAAUGACGAUGACGAUGAUGAUGACAACGAUGACGAGGAUGAGGAUGACGAUGAUGGCUAUGAUGAUGAUGAUGAGGAGGAGGAGGAGGAGGACGAUGAUGACAUGGACGAGGACAGGGAUAAUGAUAAUAAUGUUGGUGCUGAUGAAAAUCACGGCAAUGGCGAUGGCGAUAAGAAUGAGGAUGAAGGUAAUGAUGGCAAAGACGUGGAAGCAUUGUUGACUUUUAAGAUCGAAGAUCCAACCGGUAAGUCGCCGGCGUACAAAAAAACCUUAACACACGUCUAUGCUGACGGGGCAGGUGAGAGCAAGGGGUAUUUAAACUUCAUCACCGCGGAAUGUGCCAAUUCACACUAUGUGGGACAUGACGGAUCUCUCACCAUCCAAUGCCGAGUUGAGGUAACCACAAGGUCCUGCACUAGCGGCACCCCAGUAGCCGGCGCUGUGAUACAUGUGCCCGUGCCACCAUUCAACUUGGCACUACACCUCGAGCAGUUGCUAGCGAGCGAGAGCGGCUGGGAUGUCAUGUUCCUCGUCGAGGACAGCGAGAUCCGCGCGCAUGGGCUUGUGGUCGCCACACGGUCACCGGCGUUACACGAGGAGGUGGAAUCGGCUACCGGCAUGGACCAUGUAAAAAUUGAUGCCAUGAGAGCCACUGUUUUCAAGGCCAUACUCCACUUCAUCUACACGGAUGAGCUACCUCGCGUCGAUGACCAUGUCCCUGCUGUCGGCGGUGAUUCCACGAUGAUGGCAGGAGAGAUGUUGGCGGCGGCGUGCCGGUUCCGACUGGAGAGGAUGAAGCGGCUGUGCGAGAACCUGUUAGCGGAGAACAUCACGCCGAAAAACGCGCUGGCCACGCUAAGAAUCGCGGGACGCCACGGUUGCACCGAGCUGGAAGGUCACUGUGUUGAAUACAUGUCCCUGCCACACAUCGCCAAGGACGUGAUGAAAUCUCUCAAGUCCGUUCUGUAA